RNAcentral lists this ribosomal RNA (253 nucleotides) under uncultured bacterium. RNAcentral describes it as "partial 16S ribosomal RNA". It matches the Rfam family "Bacterial small subunit ribosomal RNA", at positions 524 to 776 of the family's 1533-position model. The record is from RNAcentral.
UACAGAGGUCUCAAGCGUUGUUCGGAUUCAUUGGGCGUAAAGCGUACGCAGACGGCUUGGAAGGUCGGACGUGAAAGCCCCGGGCUCAACCCGGGAAAUGCGUCCGAAACCACCUUGCUUGAGUAUGAGAGAGGGAAGCGGAAUUCCUGGUGUAGAGGUGAAAUUCGUAGAUAUCAGGAGGAACAUCUGCGGCGAAGGCGGCUUCCUGGCUCAUUACUGACGUUCAGGUACGAAAGCGUGGGUAGCAAACAGG